RNAcentral lists this ribosomal RNA (536 nucleotides) under uncultured Glomeromycotina. Its description in RNAcentral is "SSU rRNA". It matches the Rfam family "Eukaryotic small subunit ribosomal RNA", at positions 569 to 1113 of the family's 1831-position model. Lineage: Eukaryota; Fungi; Glomeromycota. The record is from RNAcentral.
AGCAGCCGCGGUAAUUCCAGCUCCAAUAGCGUAUAUUAAAGUUGUUGCAGUUAAAAGCUCGUAGUUGAAUUUCGGGGUCAGUAGGUUGGUCAUGCCACUGGUAUGUACUGGUCUCACUGAUUCCUCCUUCCUGAUGAACUGUAAUGCCAUUAAUUUGGUGUUGCAGGGAAUCUGGACUGUUACUUUGAAAAAUUAGAGUGUUUCAAAGCAGGCUAACGCCUGAAUACAUUAGCAUGGAAUAAUGAAAUAGGACGUUCGAUCCUAUUUUGUUGGUUUCUAGGAUUGACGUAAUGAUUAAUAGGGAUAGUUGGGGGCAUUAGUAUUCAAUUGUCAGAGGUGAAAUUCUUGGAUUUAUUGAAGACUAACUACUGCGAAAGCAUUUGCCAAAGAUGUUUUCAUUGAUCAAGAACGAAAGUAAGGGGAUCGAAGACGAUUAGAUACCGUCGUAGUCUUUACCAUAAACUAUGCCAACUAGGGAUCGGAGGGCGUUAUAAUGACCCCUUCGGCACCUUGCGGGAAACCAAAGUGUUUGGGUU